UAGGUCUUUUGGCAUCCCGCUUUUCACUUUCAUUUUAUCUCAAAUAAUGAAAGUUUCCAUCCUUCUCUCAUAUUAUCUCAAAUAAUUCUACAAGAGAUUCGAAUUCCAUCUUUCUCUAUGAUCAUUUUCCAAAAUAUGAAUGAGUUUCCAUAUUUAAGGAUCAUUGGUUGCAUAAACCCUAGAUCUAUAAAUCCAUACGUAUUCAGUCGUUUCUUCACAUCGAUUCGGUUGUUAAUCGAUUUAUCAACAUCCUCUGUUUCUUCACAUCGAUUUGGCUGUCAAUCGAUUUGUCAAGCAUUAUUUAAAGUCAUGUUGAUUUAAAUUUUUGGCAGCUUCCAUGUGAAUUUUUGGGUCAGAGCAUUGCUUCUAUUAGCUUGCAGGGUCUUGUUGUCACUCUCCUUUGGGAUGAAGCUAGGCACCAGACUUCAGGGAAGUUAACCACAUCAUACUACAUUCUUAUUUUGAUGGAGUUAGACAAUGUUGUUUCAAGUUUCCAAUCUUCUCAAGUGACUCUCAUCUAUCAAGGUUUGUGGAUUGAUUGAUGUUGGUGAUCUUCUUCGCCGAGUUUUGCCUCUCACGUUUUCUGCAAACAUCAAAAGACCUUCAUGAUGACCAAUCAAGAGUAUAGGACUUGGACGUAUGAUUUUGAAUCGCGGUCUCCCUUAUGUCCAAAGCCGAAAAUUGACCAGAUUAUAAUUGUCACAAACAAUUUGUGAUCGAAAGCUAAAUAUUUAACUUCUUAGCUAAGAGGAUCCCAACUUCAAACUUUGCUUUACGCCUCUAAAAUGGUUGAGCCGACCGUAGAUACAGUCUUUGGUGGCAAGCGGAUGGGAUGGUAUAUGGUGGUUGAAGAAAUUAAGGAGCUGUAUUUUUUUUUUUGUUUGGCUCACGAGGAGAUCGAAGAUAAAAUGUGAAGACUUGCCUAUUUGGAGGGGAUUUGAUGUUGGGUUGCAAGGGGUGGGCAUAUAGUUUGUUUUAUUUUUACUGUUUUAAUGGAACGAAAUAAACUUUUCAUGUACUCAUUUAUCUAUAAUUUUUUAUUUCAGUAACAUUUUAUACGUUUA
Molecule: RNA transcript, 1064 nt
Organism: Helianthus annuus (common sunflower)
Lineage: Eukaryota; Viridiplantae; Streptophyta; Magnoliopsida; Asterales; Asteraceae
Exons: 6
Source: RefSeq, a predicted model, not a curated record